CAAAUACUCCCUCUGUCCGGAAAUACUUGUCAUCAAAAUGGAUAGAAGGAAAUGUAUCUAGACGUAUUUUAGUAUUAGAUACAUCUCUUUUUAUCCAUUUUGAUUGACAAGUAUUUUCGAACGGAGGGAGUAUUUA
Non-coding RNA from Triticum aestivum (bread wheat), 136 nucleotides. NCBI's taxonomy places the organism in Eukaryota, Viridiplantae, Streptophyta, Magnoliopsida, Poales, Poaceae. The record is from Rfam.